CCCCUUAUCCGGGGCCAACCCUUCCAGAUACGCUGCAGUUUCCCUCUUCUGUCCUCUAGUACUUUUAAAGCACAGCUCUGUUCCUGUAGCUUUGGUGCAUAAACACCUUCAAUGAAAGUACAUACGGUUACAACAUUACUUCUCCAAGUCAGGCGCUGACUGAAGAGAAACAGAAAAUGGGAAUGAUAAGAUCUACUCUGGAAAAACAAUUUAGCACCAGACUGUUUCACGUAGCACAUAUAGCUUACUGCUAUAUACAAAUGUCUAAAUUACGUGGUGAGAGAACUAGAGAUUAAAAAUUGUGCCUCAGAGAUAAUA
Molecule: long non-coding RNA, 318 nt
Organism: Bos taurus (domestic cattle)
Lineage: Eukaryota; Metazoa; Chordata; Mammalia; Artiodactyla; Bovidae
Source: Ensembl